GGUUCCAGUGCACAAGGCACAACGCAACUUUGACCUUUGACCCAUCCGUUUUGGGCAUAGCGCGCAUGGCUACUAUUAUGUGAACAGUACUGCACUGUGAUCUAUACUAGUACAGUACUAGACAAGUCUACAUGUCUGAAUCAAGCAGGAAUAGGGUUAUUAAGACGUACUUUUACAAAGGAUACACAAUUAGAGAAUUCCUAAAUUCCUGUAUUCAAAAAGAGUACUGCGUAAUCUAAGAUUGAGAGGAGACGUAAUCCCUUGACUAGGAGACGGCUACUGGCUAUUAUUGAAGCAAUUUCUGUAAGUAUUGUCACAUUCGCAGAAAGAGUUGAAAGAGUUACAGGAGUCUAAGAAGUUGUGGAGGAGAGUGGUGCGAAAGUAUAAGCUGCCUAUAUCUCGGUAAGAGGCUAGGUUGAUUACUGCAUGCUUGUCUACCAUGCAGGAGAUAGUACGAAAAUUGCUUCGCACCAGAGGAAACAAAACUCCGAAAAGCUCAUCGACUCACUCGAAGACACUAAGGGUUUGCAAGCCAAGGGUUUAUUUGAUGAGACUGAUCCACUACAGCUGUGAGUUUUAUUAGAGCACACUAUAUAUGUAUGGCCAGUUGGUUGUGGAAGCUAAUCAUUGCUAACCUUUAAUUGCAUAGGAAAUGUUUUGUUGUAGAUUGGAAUUCCUUAGGAAACAGAGACAUCCUUACGUCUCCUUGUGGAAUCCCUGAGAAGCUAUUCAAUCUACCUGAACUAUAUGAGGGAUCCAACUCAAACAUACAUGAUGAGUAGAGCAGAAGAAUCGAGGGUGGUCGCGCGUCAGCCACCAAGACGAAGGGUACGUAUGUUCUUUGUUUGGUCAAAGUUUGUUGGAAACUGAACUCUGACUUGUUGUAAUUAGUAUAUUUAGCCAUUACGUAAUGAUUAGUGACCUUUGGUCUUCUAGAAUAUUCUUGUGUUUUUGUAUUUUAAGCCACGUGUGUGACCUUUACUCUUAGUUCUGUUUUGUGAUUCUGUGAUGUUCUAGAAAAUAACAGGUUAUGGGCCCAGGCAACGCCUAAGCUGAGCAGUAGAUCUAGAUAACAGUAAACAGAACUCGGAUCAAGAUCAACGGAUUUGUCGGAUCAAGGAUCAACGGAUUUGUCCAGUCAUGGAAGACAAGUGGACUGUGGAGAAACUAGACGGGUCCAAUUAGAUCACGUGGAAAUUUCAAGUGAAACAUCUGUUACUACUGGCCAAAGGCCUAUGGAAGUAUGCAGAUGGAUCAGCUGUACUUGCGGAAGAUGCAACAGUCGAACAACAAACGAAGCAUCAAAGUACGAAGCAUCAAAGUGAAUCACAGAAGGCAUUCUCUGUCAUUGCUAUGUCAGUUAGUACAUCACAAUUGUACCUGAUAACCUCCUGUGAAAGACCAGAGGAAGCCUGGAAUUCCCUCAAAAAACAUUUCGAGAGGGAAACGUUAGCCAACAAACUUUUCCUUAAAAAGCAGUACUUUAGGAAGGAAAUGAGUGAGGGAAACUGUAUCAACAUGCACCUAAAGGAAAUGAAAGAACUGACUGACAAACUCAGCUCAAUCGGAGCACCAAUCUCCGAGGAAGAUCAAGUUGUCACCCUCCUAGGAAGUCUGCCUUCAUCAUUCUCUAUUGUAGUUACUGCACUUGAGGCACGCGUAGAUGAUCUGACACUAGACUUUGUCCAGCAGCAGCUAAUACAUCACGAACGCAAACUCAAAGCCCAAGAACUGAAGUCUGAGGCACCACACGAUUCAGUGUUAUUGGGAAAUCAAAGGCGGAAGACCCCAAGGUACUGGACUUGUGACGAACCUGGACACGUUCAACGGUUCUGUCCAAAACGAAGAGGGACGUCACAGCACCGAGCACCGAGCAAAGAUCACUGAAGAUGCAAGCAAUGAAGAUGAAGGAGCAUUCCCAGUAUCCGAUGAAGUACCUGAAAACAAGUGGUUGAUAGACUCUGGUGCGUCCAGUCAUAUGACUCCCAAGAGAGAGUAUUUUUCAACGUAUCGAGCAUUCUCUACUCCCGAGAAAGUUGGCCUUGGUGACGGCAGAACUGUUGAAGCAGUGGGAGUUGGAACCGUCCGAGUAAACAUGUUGUUCAAGCAAUAGUAAGAAAGCCGUAAUGUAUGAUGUAUUACACGUUCCGAAGCUGGCUUGCAAUUUGUUCUCUGUAAGAGCAGCAGCAAAAAAGGGGAACACAGUGAAAUUCAAUCAAGUACGAUGUUGGAUCAAAGGUCCCAAAGGAAGUCUUCAAGGAAUGGGGUCACUAACCGGAAAACUGUAUCAACUGAAGUGUGAAGUCGAAGUCCUAAAUGACAAAGAAAAUGUUUCAGUGGUAACAGAAAACUUACCAGAAGUUGACUUGUGGCAUCAACGGUUAGGUCACCUGAACAAGCAACAACUCAACACUCUUGUGGAUCGAAAUUUUGCAUCUGGCAUUAAACUGUCAACAACCUCCGAGUUAUCGUUUUGCGAAGGAUGUGUGGAGGGAAAGAUGCAGCGCAAACCCUUCAAGUCUCUGACACAUAAACAGUCGAAAAGAAAACUAGAACUCAUUCAUAGUGAUGUGUGUGGACCAUUUCAGGCAGAGUCGAUUGGUGGAAGUCGCUAUUUUCUCACAUUUAUUGACGACUAUACAAGAUGUGUCUGUCCAUUUUAUCAAGCACAAAUCAGAAGUGUUUGAGAAGUUCAAACUAUUUGAGGCAAUGAUGACGAAGGAGUGCGAUGAGCCGAUAAUGAAACUGAGAACAGACAAUGGGGGCGAGUACUUGUCAAAGGAAUUUCAGGCAUAUCUCGCAUCAAACGGAAUCGAACACCAACUCACUGUACCUCAUUCUCCCCAACAGAAUGGUGUGGCAGAACGGCUAAACCGUACACUUGUGGAAUCAGCGAGAGCUAUGCUAUCUCAUUCUAAUCUACCCAAUAGAUUUUGGGCUGAGGCAGUAUCAACUGCUGCCUAUCUCAGGAAUCGUACUACCACAUCUGCCAACGAAGAGCAACUCACACCUUAUGAGAAGUAGCAUGGUCACAAGCCGGACAUCAGUAAUCUCAAGGUGUUUGGGUGUGCUGCCUAUAGUCAUGUGUCAAAUGCACAAAGAAGAAAACUUGACAAGAAGGCACGAAGAAUGUGUUUUGUUGGUUAUAGUAAAAAUCCUAAAGGAUACAGAUUGAUCGAUAUCAACACUGAUAAGGUCAUCAUCCGAAGAGAUGUUGUGUUUAAUGAAUCUGACUUUCGAUUUCUCAACCGAAAAGAUGGCACUGAAAGUGUACCAAUCCUACCUGACUUGUUCGAUGAGCCUGAAGAUGAAGGCGAAAUGUUCGAUGAGCCUGAAGAAACUCGGUCGGAAGAACUACCACGUAGAUCGGAACGAAACCUGGAAGAACCACUACAAAGAUCAGAACGAACUGUGCAACGUCCAGACUACUAUGGACAUUCCGAAUCUGCUGACACGACCACUACAGAAUUUGCUGAUACAGCAAUCGUACCUGAGCACCGUGCCUGCAUUAUGCAAGAAAUACCCGAGCCAGUAUCAUUUGAUGAAGCACUUAAAAGUCCUCAUGCAAAAGAUUGGAAACUUGCAACUGACGCUGAGUAUCAGUCUCUGGUCGACAACGAUACUUGGGAUUUGGUAGAACCCCCCGAAGGAAGAGCAGUGGUAGGCUGCAAAUGGGUAUUUAAAGUCAAGUAUGAUGGAGAAGGCAAAGUUGAACGAUUUAAGAGCAGGCUGGUUGCAAAAGGGUAUUCUCAGAGAUACGAAAUCGAUUUUGAAGAGACGUUCUCACCAGUUGUGCAUUUUUCGUCAGUUCGAACACUUUUGGCCCUUGCUGUACAAAAGGAUAUGAUCGUCCAUCAAAUGGAUGUAGUUACUGCAUUCCUCAAUGGCGAGCUCGAUGAGGAAAUUUACAUGCAACAACCUGAUGGAUACCAAGUUUCGGGGAAAGAAAAUCUUGUCUACAAAUUGAAGAAAUCUCUUUAUGGAUUAAAACAAGCACACCUAGGUGUUGGAACCGAGCUUUGAGAGAGUUUAUGAUACAAAUUGGAUUUGUACAAAGCGAUGCUGAUUCAUGCGUGUUUACCUGACUCAAUGAGCACACAACAAUCAUAGCUGUCUACGUUGAUGACCUGAUUCUCAUUUCAGAUGUCAUUGAAGUCCUGUUGGAAACGAAAGGGCUCCUGUCCGAGCAGUUCAGAAUGAAGGACAUGGGUCCACUUCAUUACUGUUUAGGUAACUGUGUUUGGCUACACCAGAAGCAGUACAUAAAGUUGAUGCUCAAGAAGUUUGGCCUUGCAGAUGCAAACAAUGUUUCUACCCCAGCCGAUUGUAAUGUGAAGCUAGUCAAAUAUGAUCAAGUGAGUGGAUCUACUGACCAUGUUGAAUAUCAGUCAAUGGUAGGUAGUCUGCUCUAUGCAGGUUUGCGUACUCGCCCGGACAUUGCCCAGGCAGUGGGAGCAGUUUCUAAAUUUUGCUCUAACCCAACAGAAGCUCACAAAACUGCAGUAAAGAGAAUAUUCCGUUAUCUGAAGAAAACGAUGAAUCUGGCAUUGAAGUACUGUAAGGAUGGAAAACCAGUCACUGGAUUUUCAGAUGCUGACUGGGGAGGGGAUCUGGAUGACAGACGUUCAACUACAGGAAAUCUGUUUUUACUCGCUGGUGGAGCAGUAAGCUGGUUAAGCAAGAAGCAAGCAGUGGUUGCUCUGUCCACAACAGAAGCCGAGUAUGUGGCACUAAGUCUGGCUGCACAAGAAGCAACAUGGCUCCAGAAGUUGCUUACAGAUCUACAGAUGCCAACAGAACCGAUUGUUAUCAAGGAAGAUAACCAUGGAGCCUUAGCACUGUCUCGAAAUCCAAUUGUGCACUCCAGAACAAAGCAUAUCGAUAUUCGAUUUCACUUCAUACGGAAAGCACUGGAGGAUGGCAUUGUCGAUGUCGCUUAUUGCCCUACCUCUGAGAUGGUUGCGGAUAUACUUACCAAACCCAUUCCUCGUGAAAUUGCGUACCCUAAUGGGAAUAGAAGAACUUGUGACAAAUCCUACUAAUUAAGUGGGAGUGUUGGAAACUGAACUCUGACUUGUUGUAAUUAGUAUAUUUAGCCAUUACGUAAUGAAUUAUUAGUGACCUUUGGUCUUCUAGAAUAUUCUUGUGUUUUUGUAUUUUAAGCCACGUGUGUGACCUUUACUCUUAGUUCUGUUUUGUGAUUCUGUGAUGUUCUAGAAAAUAACAAAGUUGACAUACAUGCUGAGCAGAAUCAAGGUACAAGAGGCCACCGAGACGAAAAGUACGUAUACUUUGUUUGUUAAGUAGGGUUGUUUGUUAAGUAGGGUCAAAGUUCAUGCAGUACAGAGGGAUCCAACUCAGACCUACAUGAUCAAUACUGUAGUUACAGAGGGAGCUGACCAGACUUGGUCGCGCGUCAGCCAGUCAGCCAGUCAGCCACGAACGAUGUCACUGAGCCCAAGGUAUGUUUCUUACCUUAUAUCAGUUCAUGCAGUAUUAUGUACAGACGAUGUCACUGAGCCUAAGGUAUGUUUCUUACCUUAUAUUACAGUUCCUCCGUAUGUUGUUGCAUAUAUUGAUAUUGAUGUAGUAGAGAACUUGUUUCCUGCUGCGCAAGACAGAGUACAGCCAAACAAGAAAGUACAAUUCUAUGUACAUCAGGAUUUCUAACUAUCUAACUACAAAUCCUCCUUUUAUAAUUUAGUUCUACAAGGAAAUGUGGUCUAAACGUCUGACAAAACGUUUAAUAUUGAAUACUUUUCGAUUGAAUACUUUUUGAUGGAUGUAUGUGACGUUGGCUAAGGGUCGUCCAUAACAGCUCUCCUUUUUUCUGCACUUUCUAGUGCAUACGACACGCGCGAAAUUUUCGCUGAUUUCGUGGGUUAGCAAUCCUACACGAAAAUAUAGAUUAGAUUCCAUUUCCAGCUCUUGGAGGAAGCCUUGUCGGUAUCCGUUUUUACACUUGCCGCCGGUAAAUCGCCUGCAUCAUAAUUAUAGUAUGUUGCAAAAAUACAGCAGUAUGAACAUUGUGUGGUAUUCUGCUCAACAUUCUACAACCUCGUUAUAGCAAAGAGUGGGCAUAUACACACACCCCAUACACCCCACAUAUCCAGUUUGCUCAGCAACGAGGUUCAUCCAUAAUUUUAGCCUUUAUACCUGCCUGCAGUAGACUAGAUUAUCACAAAAACGGUCGCGAAGUCCUAUCUUGAAAGGGGCCUCACUAACAAUACAAUUGCAGCUCACUCACUAACCCAUACACACACCCUUCGGAAUAUCCAGUUCGCGAGGUUCGUGUCCCUUCCAUUCUCUGUCCCUUAUACCUGCGCCUGCAGUAGUCUCUUGUAAUUACAAAAAUGGCUUCUCUCUGUCACAACUUCCUCUCAACUUGAGACCACGAUCACCACGAUCACCACUUAAAGUAACAAUUGCAUAUUGCUGCGUACUAUUCCACUGGCCAUUGGUACUGCCUUAUACUAGCUAACCAUAUGGAGAAAACGUUGACCGAAACUAAUUGUUACAUAUAAGACUAUAUUUUCGAUAUUCGACAUCCCAGAGUAGCUCUGUUCAGAAUGGUGAUCUUGUGUAGGUGAGUGUAAUAAAUAACACAAAUAACACAAAGACAAAGACAUCGAAGCGUGCUUAAGCAAUUGUAGUUAUCACACAUUUGUAGUUAUCACACAUGAAUGUUUCUAACACAAUAAUGUGUAUGGUUACAUCUUGAGGCGUUUUUCAGGGGACUGCCCAGACGGUAUAUAUCUAGGCCGCAGAAUCGAUGCAGCCUGAUCACAACGCUGGGGCGGGCGAAGUGAGCCACAGCUGGAUGGGAAGGUGCGUAGUGCUGUCCUUACUCCCCUUACUCCCUUACUCCCACACUGGAGCAGGACCCAUUAUUAUGUUGCAUUAUAAAAAAAACAAAAGAAUGUAUUAGUGAUGGAGUUAUGGAGUUAUGGAUGGAUUUUUUAUGGUGAGCAGAGUAUCGAUGAUUGAUAAGACAGUGUUUUGGCAAAGAAACUAACGGAACUCCUUACCUAACCAUGCUGCUGAGGCGGGGUGACAAUAUGAUUUACAAUAUGAUUUAUCACUUAUUUAUCACUUAUGUAUGCAUAUCAUUAGGUUGGUGUGUACCGUGUGUGCUAUUGUUCAACGUUUUGGACGCAUGCGCGUGGGAGGCAGAGCCGAUUAUAGGUAUACUCUAUGGAUAACUGCGCUAUUAUUUAUCGGUACAUUACUGGUAUAGAGUGUUAAUGAGAAAAUAAUAGUUGACACUAGUUUAUGGCCAGGAAACCCCUAUCCCUCCCGCAUUACUCUUGCUAACCAAACCAGACUGGGCAUCACAGCAUUGGACCAGGCUGUGGAGUUCUAUUUUCGAAAUCCAUCCACCCAACGACUCAACUUCGUUAUAGUAUUUUGUAGCCUAUAUAGUUUUGCACCUCUGCACCAGUUAUGUCAAUAUGUGUCAUUUUUGUCAGGAAGUGGCAUUUCACAUGGGUCCAUUAAAUGUUUCGAAGCAAAUUGCACAAUAACUAAGCUGGAGGGGGGUUAAUAUUUGUUUCACAGACCCUGUAUUCACUUCGAAUGACAUUAAGCGUUGGUACGCUGAAGACAAAUCUAAAGGGUGCACAACUAGUGAAAGUAUUGUGUGGCUAAAAUAAUAUUCUGUCAUGCAAGUACACGUAGAAAACGUAUCUUACGUUGAGCAUCUCAGUCCUUCUGGGCAAUUCAAAAGAACACAAUGUGCCGAAAUUUUUUCCCAUAACUGUAGGUGUGAUUUGCAAUCUUGUACUGAUGUGCAGUCACUACACUAUUGUCACGAAAGUGACUAAAGUACAUGCAAGUUCACAUUAAUAAUAAUGUUUUCACAGAUUGAACCAUCAACUACAACACAUUGAAAAUGAAAAUUGUGUUUUAGAGAGAUGGAAAGCUGGUGAUAAGGUGAUAAAGUGUACAACUCACAACUCUGUACAACUCACAACUCGAAUUCCUUCAAAGCCGAAGCGUGAAACAAUGUUUAGUUCUCUUUGGUGAUAUCCAGUCCAUUGCUCGGCAACGAUGCUGGACAUAGCAUGACAUCAAAGAAGACGAUUACUGCGUACAAUAAAACAGCCUUACAAUAAAACAGCCUCUUCCUGUGAUCCUGUGAUUUAGAACAGCCAUGCAAAAUCACUUGGGAGAUCACACCUUUGGGUUUCUUCAAGUUCAAGUGAUAUUGACAUCCCUGCUAAUGUUAGACGUGAUGCCAUGAACAAGUAUUUUCUUCAGCAGCGAGCAGAGAGGAAAUAAUAGCAGAGAGGAAAUAAUAGAACUUGAAAUGAAACGUUUCAUUUCUAUGCUGCAUAAUCGGAUUGAUAGACUCACUACUUCUCUACCAUUGACACCAGCAAACUGUUGAAGAAAUGGGGAUGUUGAAGAAAUGGGCUUUGUGUUAAAGUACUCACACUCCGAAAAACUUUCGCACUGUAUUAUGUAGACGUUUAUGUAGACGUUAAUGAACUACCUAUUGUGAUCUCUUGUGAUCUCUAUUCACCGGAUUUCUUUGAUGAAGAACGAUAUUGAACGAACUGAACGAACUGAGAGGUUACGAAAGCUUGAGGCUGAGGAACAGGAGUCAUGCGAUGAAUCAGUAGAUAGUGAUGACAUGA
Long non-coding RNA from Halichondria panicea, 8639 nucleotides. RefSeq lists it as uncharacterized. NCBI's taxonomy places the organism in Eukaryota, Metazoa, Porifera, Demospongiae, Suberitida, Halichondriidae. The record is from RefSeq and is a predicted model, not a curated record. The transcript has 6 exons.